UACGUAGGGUGCAAGCGUUAAUCGGAAUUACUGGGCGUAAAGCGUGCGCAGGCGGUGAUGUAAGACAGUUGUGAAAUCCCCGGGCUCAACCUGGGAACUGCAUCUGUGACUGCAUCGCUGGAGUGCGGCAGAGGGGGAUGGAAUUCCGCGUGUAGCAGUGAAAUGCGUAGAUAUGCGGAGGAACACCGAUGGCGAAGGCAAUCCCCUGGGCCUGCACUGACGCUGAGGCGCGAAAGCUAGGGGAGCAAACAGG
RNAcentral lists this ribosomal RNA (253 nucleotides) under uncultured bacterium. RNAcentral describes it as "partial 16S ribosomal RNA". It matches the Rfam family "Bacterial small subunit ribosomal RNA", at positions 524 to 776 of the family's 1533-position model. The record is from RNAcentral.